CAUGCAAGUCGAGCGAUGAACAUUCAAUGAUCCCUUCGGGGUGAUUUGGCUGGGAUUAGCGGCGAACGGGUGAGUAACGCGUGAGGAACCUGCCUCUUACAACGGGAUAGCCUCGGGAAACCGGGAUUAAUACCGUAUAAGACUCCGACAUCUCCUGAUGAUGAAGUCAAAGCGUAUGCGGUAAGAGAUGGCCUCGCGUCUGAUUAGUUAGUUGGCGGGGUAACGGCCCACCAAGACGACGAUCAGUAGCCGGCCUGAGAGGGUGAACGGUCACAUUGGAACUGAGACACGGUCCAAACUCCUACGGGAGGCAGCAGUGGGGAAUCUUGCACAAUGGGGGCAACCCUGAUGCAGCGACGCCGCGUGAGCGAUGAAGGUUUUCGAAUCGUAAAGCUCUGUCCUAUGGGAAGAUAAUGACGGUACCAUAGGAGGAAGCCCCGGCUAACUACGUGCCAGCAGCCGCGGUAAUACGUAGGGGGCGAGCGUUGUCCGGAAUUACUGGGCGUAAAGGGUUCGCAGGCGGCAUGGCAAGUCCGAUGUAAAAGGCGAAGGCUUAACCUUCGUAAGCAUCGGAAACUGUCAAGCUUGAGUGAAGGAGAGGCAAGUGGGAUUCCUAGUGUAGCGGUGGAAUGCGUAGAUAUUAGGAGGAAUACCGGUGGCGAAGGCGACUUGCUGGACUUCAACUGACGCUGAGGAACGAAAGCGUGGGUAGCAAACAGGAUUAGAUACCCUGGUAGUCCACGCUGUAAACGAUGAGUGCUAGGUGUCGGGGGUCAAACCUCGGUGCCGCCGUUAACAC
Molecule: ribosomal RNA, 799 nt
Filed under: uncultured bacterium
Lineage: Bacteria
Description: bacterial SSU rRNA
Rfam family: Bacterial small subunit ribosomal RNA
Source: RNAcentral